This is a non-coding RNA of Caenorhabditis elegans, 585 nucleotides long. The record is from Ensembl. NCBI's taxonomy places the organism in Eukaryota, Metazoa, Nematoda, Chromadorea, Rhabditida, Rhabditidae.
GAAGGACUUUGGUUAACUACUCGAAGGGAGUGAGAGAAGGAAAAAAACGGCCAGUGGUCAUUUUUAUUAUGCAGUAGUGUUCUAGGCCUGUGGGGCUGGCCGCAAGAGGCUGGCGUUAAAGGGGGAAGGGCGGGGCUUAUGGAGCUGUCUCCUAAAAAUCCGUUAUUGUUAGUAGAAACAUAGUGCAUCGAGUAAACAAUCGAGAGAACACAUCAACGAUAUAUACGCAAAACCAUCACAGCACGACCACCCCCCGACGCGGAAAACUGCGCACGGACCACUGAAAGCCGAGAGACGCAGCGGUCAGGAAAGGACGUUCGCAGUGCGGUGAGAGUGAACGCGGAAGGGGGUGGAACGCGGGAGACGUUAGUGACCGCCGGCUGGCGGAGUCUCGCGGAAGAAGAUGAAGAUUGUUUUUCACGUGUGCCACCCGCGCGUUGUCGCGAACCUCUGGUAAGAGUGCAAUGUUUCGGUUGACGUCCACUCCGCCCUCCGACUUUUAUCAUGUAUUCUGACGGUCACUAUGAGGGUCAGCAAAUAUAAAAUACGAUAAAAGUAUGCAGAAGAAACCCUUUCCCCUCACUU